ACAGAGUUCAUGCCCUUCGGGGUAGACCUCCCACCCUUUGUAUACAUUGCCUUUGUUGCUUUGGCGGGCCGCCUUUCGGCCACCGGCCCCAGCUGGUGCGCGCCCGCCAGAGAACCCCAAACCCUGUCUUACAGUGUCGUCCGAGUACUAUAUAAUAGUUAAAACUUUCAACAACGGAUCUCUUGGUUCUGGCAUCGAUGAAGGACGCAGCGAAAUGCGAUAAGUAAUGUGAAUUGCAGAAUUCAGUGAAUCAUCGAAUCUUUGAACGCACAUUGCGCCCGGUGGUAUUCCGCCGGGCAUGCCUGUUCGAGCGUCAUUUAAACCAAUCCAGCCUCGUGCUUGGGUCUUGGGCCUUUCGCCUCUGGGCGGGCCUCAAAAUCAGUGGCGGUGCCUUCUGGCUCUAAGCGUAGUAAUACUCCUCGCUAUAGAUGUCAGGUGGUGUCUUGCCAGUAACCCCUAAUUUUUAAAGGUUGACCUCGGAUCAGGUAGGGAUACCCGCUGAACUUAA
RNAcentral lists this ribosomal RNA (508 nucleotides) under uncultured fungus. RNAcentral describes it as "eukaryotic LSU rRNA". The stretch from base 163 to 316 matches the Rfam family "5.8S ribosomal RNA". The record is from RNAcentral. Lineage: Eukaryota; Fungi.